RNAcentral lists this ribosomal RNA (423 nucleotides) under uncultured bacterium. RNAcentral describes it as "bacterial SSU rRNA". It matches the Rfam family "Bacterial small subunit ribosomal RNA", at positions 355 to 775 of the family's 1533-position model. The record is from RNAcentral.
UGAGGAAUAUUGGUCAAUGGGGGGAACCCUGAACCAGCCAUCCCGCGUGCAGGAAGACAGUUCUAUGGAUUGUAAACUGCUUUUCUUGGGGAAGAAUAAUGACGACGUGUCGUCAGAUGACGGUACCCGAGGAAUAAGCAUCGGCUAACUCCGUGCCAGCAGCCGCGGUAAUACGGAGGAUGCAAGCGUUAUCCGGAUUUAUUAGGUUUAAAGGGUGUGUAGGCGGAUGUAUAAGUCAGUGGUGAAAGUCAGCAGCUUAACUGUAGAAUUACCAUUGAUACUGUAUGUCUUGAGUGUGGUUGAGGUUUGCGGAAUGUGUAAUGUAGCGGUGAAAUGCAUAGAUAUUACACAGAACACCGAUUGCGAAGGCAGCAUGCUAAGCCACAACUGACGCUGAUGCACGAAAGCGUGGGGAUCAAACAG